This 466-nucleotide ribosomal RNA is filed under the name uncultured bacterium. Its description in RNAcentral is "partial 16S ribosomal RNA". It matches the Rfam family "Bacterial small subunit ribosomal RNA", at positions 28 to 507 of the family's 1533-position model. The record is from RNAcentral.
GAUGAACGCUGGCGGCGUGCUUAACACAUGCAAGUCGAACGGAAAGGCCACAGCUUGCUGUGGUACUCGAGUGGCGAACGGGUGAGUAACACGUGGGUGAUCUGCCCUGUACUUCGGGAUAAGCUUGGGAAACUGGGUCUAAUACCGGAUAGGAAUCACAUGUGGGUGUGUGGUUGGAAAGCUUUUGCGGUAUGGGAUGAGCUCGCGGCCUAUCAGCUUGUUGGUGGGGUAAUGGCCUACCAAGGCGUCGACGGGUAGCCGGCCUGAGAGGGUGGACGGCCACAUUGGGACUGAGAUACGGCCCAGACUCCUACGGGAGGCAGCAGUGGGGAAUAUUGCACAAUGGGCGCAAGCCUGAUGCAGCGACGCCGCGUGGGGGAUGACGGCCUUCGGGUUGUAAACUCCUUUCGUCAGGGACGAAGCGAAAGUGACGGUACCUGGAUAAGAAGCACCGGCUAACUACGUG